UUUUUUUUUUUUUUUUUCAAAAAAGAGAAUGUGACAGCUUCUUCAAGCUGCUGGAGCAAUCCAAUCAGUGGUGGCCCCUUUCCCUGGGAAGUGGAGAAAAUUGAUCCUAGAGCUUUCCUGAGAAAGUAUGCAGUAGACUAGAAAAGACACUGUUCUAAGUUGUUCCUCUUAUCAGAAUGCUUUUUCUUUGCAUAACAUGCUCUGUUUUUUACUAGAGCUAUGACUAUCACCAAGGUGAUAUAGAUUUCAUUUAAUAAUUUACCUUAGCCUGGAGUUACGAAAUAUAAUUUUCAACACAUGACUUCUGAACACACCCACCUCAAACUUCAUGUUUUGUAAUAGAAUUACCUCUAGAAAGAUAGUCUGAUCUAAGGCUGUGAUCUUGCCAUUAUUUGUGACAGAGGCUUUUGAGAUUAUGAAUUUAAUUUUGGCCUGUUGGAAGUGAAUCCGUGUCUUAAUGAUGUUAUUAAUAAGUUAUAUUCUUAAGUAUUCAGUAUCCGUCUACUUUUUUAUAUUUUUAAUUAAAAUGUUUUACAAUAAGUAUUCUUCUUUACUCCAUCAGUGUACCUAGUAAUCCAGUGAAAAUGACAAUUCCUUUGUUGACACCAGAUCAACAGUCCAUAUGCUGCUUCAAAUCAUAUGAAGUACUUUGAACCUGGAUAUAUUCCUUGUUGUGUGACUGUUUUAAGCCAGCAGAAGAGAGACUUGCAGAGACCAUUCCAAGUGAGACUACACUUCUCACCAUGUUUUCAUUUGAACCAACCACGUGACCAUUACAGGAAACUACAUCUCUUGGAGCACACUCCAAAAACAAGAUAUGUAGAGGUAGUUAAACAAUUCCACCUAUCUAUGAGGUAUAGGCAAAAUGGUAUCAACUCUUGAUUUGUGAGCACAUUCUAGGUGGAGAUAAUUGGCUACAGCACAGUUAGCUUCCUAGGAAAAGACUUGGCAGAAGAAUCAGGAUGUCUCCUCAGCAAGUUCACUGAUGAUAUGAAGCUGGGAGUUUAGUUAAAUGAGGUUUUUUUGUGUUAGAAAGCAAAACUGGAAAAAAAGAAAGAUCCAAAAAUAUAUUAAUUUGUUUAGAAUGCUUACUGUAAUACACAAAUGAUGCCUUUCAAAUUUCUUUCCUGAAUGUUUCUUCUCAAAAUAGUAUACCGAAAGGAGAAAAGAUAUUUUACAAUUCUUAAAUUAUAAAUUAAUAUUGGAGUAGAAUUGACUUAGACCCUACUUAAAUUUAGAAAUAAAAUGUUUGGGAAAAAAUUGAAAAAAAAAAAAAGUUACUUUAUAAGUUUGUGUUAAAAGCUAUAACUCCUUAAAGGCUCUUACUCCCUUUCCAGAAACAUACCCUUUUUGCUUUUAGAUACUCAAGUCUGUCAGCAUAGAUGCCGCUACCCAUUCAGAAUUGCAUAAUCUAAUUUACAGUCAUAGUUUAACUUCAUUUGAAGAAACAAUAUGACAACAAUUUGCAACUGCCUCAGGGUGGGCACAGCAGGUCUUACUGAAGCUGGAUAUUCAUGGGAUAAGUACACACAACCUUCUUGGCAAUUUAUGGAUGCUGCUCAUAACUUUACUGCAUCUUGAGACACAGUUCAAGGCCAGUAGUUUCCCUUGUUUUGUUGAUGGAUAUUGGUUGUCCCAAAUUAAAUAAAAGUUACUUCACUUGACUAGAAGAGAAAAAAGAAACAUUUAGAACUUGCAGUAGUUUAUUCAAAUGGUAAAGUCUUUAAGAUCUUUAAGAUAAAGUGUUCAGCAGUGCCUGUAGGCUAUCUACAUGCUAAAACAGAUGAAAGGAGAAAAUUGGUACCUGGAGAGAGGCAGAAAAAUUCUUUGUAGCCUUCUUGCCUAUAUUGCAUUUUUAUGUGCACCGCUCUGAGGUGUAUUCACUUAUGCUAUAUGUUUUACAUGAAAGAUUAACACCUCAAGGAAAAAUAAAAGAAGUUAGGAGAAUAUGAUCCUGAUGAAGAAUUUACCAUAUUUUCUUCAAUGUUAAAUGUUAUAUUUUAAUGCCAUAUUGGAAAAUAUUAGGAUAAUACUUGUUAAAAAUCAUAGGUAAUAUUAGUGAAACACAGACAGAAGAUUCUUCAACUAAUUAAAGUUGAAAAGUGGUAUAUUUAUUACAGCGCCGGACACAAGCAGAAUUAUUUCCAAAAGCAUGUGCAAAAAAGUCACAAAUUCCUGCUCUCUAUUUAUCCAAAAAGGUUUUACAUAUUCAGAUGGUUUCCAAUACAGUUUCUAUGAUGCUUAGUACAUAAACAUUAACUCUCACCUGGUAUUAUAAUUAGCUGAAUAUUCAUUAUGCCUGUGCAAUUGUUCUCCUUCAGUGGGCUUCUGGGAAGGAAGUAAGAUGUCUUCUUCAUGGUAAACUCUUCAUCCGUGUCAAGUUGGCAGGGCUCUUUGCCUUGCAGGUCACAGUCCAAAUCCCUUCUCAUUCUUAGAAGUCAGUGGUAUUUAUGGCUCCUGCACUCUUACAACACUUCAUAUUAUCACCUGUCAUUCCCAGCCUUGUUUCAGUUAUCCCCACCUGAUAUCAACUGAUUUCCUUGUUAAGCUCUAAUCAGAGUAUAUGAUCUUUGCUAACUACAUUUCUAACUUAACCCCUUGACUCAUCAGAAGGUUCAUGAAGCUGUAAUAACAAAACAAAAUAAGUGAUAAGUGGCUGGGCAAAAUACAGUGAGAGUGUCCUCAUUCUGGCCAGGGCAGGGUUAAUUUUUGCAGUAGCUGGAAGGUGGCAUGGCUAGGACCAGAGGUCAUUCUGUACCACCUCAAGUCAUUGCCGAGGGUGAGAGAAAAGGACUCUUCCAGGGAGAAGGGCCCUUGCUGCUUGGGUAAGCGUGGUGCCAGUCUCUCCUGGAGGGAGCAGUUGGGAGCUGUAGUCUGGAGUUGGAGGGAGUGUUGGGAGUCACAUGGCUUCAGUUGGUUGAGCACCACAGUGAGCAUUUUUGCUUGUGAAUCACCUUCUCUCUUUUACUUUUAAUAUUGUUGCUUUUUUUUUUAAUCUCAUUGCUGUUUCCAGUAAAUUGUUAUCCCAAUCCAUGCAUGAUCUUUGCCUUUUGUGCCUCCAGUUGUCUUCUCCAGCCCUCUGAAAAGUAGGAAGGGAGGGCAAGGGAAAGCGAGGGAGUAGCAUGUGGUUUGGAGUGUCUCAGUGAGAGUACUAAAUUAGAGGACACUAUUCUUAAACCACGAAAAAGGACCAUAGUAAAAAUGUUGCUCUAUCCUAGCAGAUGCAAUAAGUUUUUACUUUUUUUGUGACACAAAUAGUAUGAUUCUUAGUACUAGGUUCUUCUUGCUAUAAGCCUUUAUCAGCUGCAUGUGUUUAUGCAGCACUCCAUUUUAAUUAGUCUGCUUAGAAGGAAUAGCAGGGGUCUCUAAUUAUCUUCACAAACUAGUGAUCUGCCCAGAAAAUGAGGAAUGAAUAAGCAUUAAGCAGUCAGAGGCCAGUAUUUAAUCACAGAGAGAAGCAGGAAGAGUGGAAGAUAAAGAAAUGCAAUUUUUACUGAUUUGGCAGAGCCCUGAAAAUUACUAAAAAUAAUCCUUCUUUAGUAAAACACGCUAGUUCUAGAUACAGAGAUUUAUGAUUUAUUCUUAUCAGUAAUAUUUGACUAGAUAUGUCAGAAUAUUUUUUUCCUCAUAUCUGUGCCAUACUUCUGAUCUUUUUAUUUUAUAUGUGUCUGUUUAGGCAUCAGUAGCAUUUCUUGAAGGACUCUUAUGAGAAUAAUAUUUUCCAAGCAUUGUUUGUAAUUUUUCAGUCCAAGUUCUAAGGAAAUAAAGACCAUUCUUUCCUUCUUUUGGAAAAAAAAAAAAAAAAGAAAAAGAAAAA
RNAcentral lists this long non-coding RNA (3817 nucleotides) under Taeniopygia guttata (zebra finch). RNAcentral describes it as "lncRNA (ENSTGUG00000024970.1)". Lineage: Eukaryota; Metazoa; Chordata; Aves; Passeriformes; Estrildidae. The record is from RNAcentral.